AUGGGUGCCGUCGUUGCCAAAUGGCUAGCCCUGAAUCGUACAAAAGGCCCCAUUUUUGGAGGUAUGUAUGCUGCACAUCUUGCUAGACAUUUUCAGAUACCCAUUAGGCACCAUGAGGAAGAGGAGACAACAUUGCCUCCUCACAUUUUAGAUUACAAGAGCAUGGUAGCACACAAGUUUAUUGUUGACAACGAAGAUAGGAUGCUCUUGUAUAAACUUAGAUUUAAUAAGAAACACUUUCAGAUUAUUAUUUUGCCUGCGCCUUUGUUGUUUGAUUUGCUUGUAGAAAAUUUUCUCGUCACACCGGAAGCGGUGAACAAUCAUCGAGCCCAAGAUUUUACUCCAGAACCUGAACCUGAACUGGACCCUUAUCGUGCAUUAUCUGUCCAGUGGGAUCCAGAGAUGAUCAGCCAGGCGAUCCUUGGUAUUAGACCAACUUAG
This 441-nucleotide ribosomal RNA is filed under the name Triticum aestivum (bread wheat). RNAcentral's name for it is "partial small subunit ribosomal RNA". The record is from RNAcentral. Lineage: Eukaryota; Viridiplantae; Streptophyta; Magnoliopsida; Poales; Poaceae.